Pecten maximus is the source of this 1340-nucleotide long non-coding RNA. RefSeq lists it as uncharacterized. The record is from RefSeq and is a predicted model, not a curated record. NCBI's taxonomy places the organism in Eukaryota, Metazoa, Mollusca, Bivalvia, Pectinida, Pectinidae. The transcript has 2 exons.
CGCCGCGCCAUGGCAUAAGCUCACCGGACCUUCGGUCCAGGUGAGCUAAAAAUUAUAUUUUCUUUCAAUGGUCAAAAAAGUUGUUGGGUCGUUCUCAGUUAUUCAGCAAAUCAGUACCAUGGAACUUUGAUGAUAAUUUGUGAUGAAAAUAAAAUAUAUUUUGGCAUGUAUGUUGUAUUUUGUUUUUAAAUGUAACUUGAAUAAAUACUAAAGAUAGUUAUAUGAUGAUAUGGUAAGGAAUAAAAAUAUUACAAAAGUUUCAAAAUGAAAAACAUCAGUUUUGCCCGCGACCAUUUGGGGACAUUUUUUCAUAGGCAUAUUCAAUAAUUGUAUUGGUUAUUGUCGAAGGAACCAUUAAUGCACAAAUAUGGAAUGUGAAAAAGCAUAAACAAAAGGACAAAAUACAGGUGUCUGAAAACGAAAAUGUCAACAAAAUGUAUAUUAUUUUAAUAAUUAAAAUCUGCGUACGGACGUUACCGUGUCGGUCAAAGUUUGUGUAGCACUUGCGAUGUGUCUACAGAUUUAGCCAAUCAUGGGCAAUAGUAUUUGCACGUAGGGGGGUUUAGGUUGUUCUUUAAAUUUACUUUCAAAUCAAAAUGACAUGUGUAGGGUUUCGCAACAAAAAGAUAUCGCCAAGCUUUUCCUAACAUGGGAAUGUCGGUCAAUAUGUAAUGUCCAAAACGAAUCCUCGUUUAUCUUCAAUUUUACACUCGUGCCUAAACCAACAUCCCUAAAUGGAUCCUUGGACUCGUCCUAAGCUCACGUCAUCAGUUUGUGUGUACACAACGCGCAAAUCCGCUGUCGCGAUUGAGGUAAGUGUUCACGGUCAAACGAAAUGCGAUAGUGUAACAUCCACAACAUGUCAUAACUGUGAGAUAUUGUAUAAACAGUGAAUCUAUACAGCUUGGUUAUCGAUGCAUAUAAUACACAUUAUAAUAAACUAUUAAUUUAGAUCGAUAGAAAAUGACGGACAUCGCUGACAGUUAUACAAAAGCCAUCUCGUCAUACGGACGUUACACUUUGACAAUAUUCUUGACGUUUUGGACGUCGCUACGUAACGUCCGUACUCUUUAAUGGAAUUAACAGUUUUUUGUGAAGAUGAUUUAUUAACAAAGACUUGAGAUCGUAGCACUUUACGAAGUAAAAUAACAUAAUAUCCAAGUCUAGUAGAUAUUGUCUUCAAGUCGCAUUCAAAUGAUGUGUCGUGUUUUGGAUGUUAUAGCUUGACACAAGAAGGCUUGUUGUGGAUGUGACUGUGAAUUGUAUUUGAAGACUUUGAUGCCUGAAGUGCCGUGCCCCAACAGAAAAAAUAAACAAUAAAAUUUGACUGUUCAGAGCUC